This 301-nucleotide ribosomal RNA is filed under the name uncultured bacterium. Its description in RNAcentral is "partial 16S ribosomal RNA". It matches the Rfam family "Bacterial small subunit ribosomal RNA", at positions 509 to 809 of the family's 1533-position model. The record is from RNAcentral.
CAGUCGCCGCGGGAAUACGAAGGGCGCAAGCGUUAAUCGGAAUUACUGGGCGUAAAGCGUGCGCAGGCGGUUAUAUAAGACAGAUGUGAAAUCCCCGGGCUCAACCUGGGACCUGCAUUUGUGACUGUAUAGCUAGAGUACGGUAGAGGGGGAUGGAAUUCCGCGUGUAGCAGUGAAAUGCGUAGAUAUGCGGAGGAACACCGAUGGCGAAGGCAAUCCCCUGGACCUGUACUGACGCUCAUGCACGAAAGCGUGGGGAGCAAACAGGAUUAGAUACCCCAGUAGUCCCUGUCUCUUAUAA